AGAGAGAUGAUGAUGAUGAUGCAGCGAGAGAGAAGAGGGAGUGAUCAGUCGGAUGAAGAGGAGGAGAGAAGCAAUAAUAAGCCGCAAUGGAAAAGGUUUAUGGGGUUGCUUAGAAAUGACUCGCUAACUGGAAUUGGGGGAGAGAUUGUUAGAGAUGGAAUUGGAAGCAGCACCACAGGACCUUCGGCUUCUCACCAUGGCUUUAUCAUU
RNAcentral lists this unclassified non-coding RNA (210 nucleotides) under Hevea brasiliensis (rubber tree). The record is from RNAcentral. Lineage: Eukaryota; Viridiplantae; Streptophyta; Magnoliopsida; Malpighiales; Euphorbiaceae.